ACUGACACUGAGGGACGAAAGCGUGGGGAUCAAACAGGAUUAGAUACCCUGGUAGUCCACGCUGUAAACGAUGAGUACUAGCUGUUGGAGUCGGUGUAAAGGCUCUAGUGGCGCAGCUAACGCGAUAAGUACUCCGCCUGGGGACUACGGCCGCAAGGCUAAAACUCAAAGGAAUUGACGGGGACCCGCACAAGCGGUGGAGCAUGUAGUUUAACUCGAUGCAACGCGAAGAACCUUACCUGGUCUUGACAUCCUGCGAUCUUUCUAGAGAUAGAUUGGUGCCUUCGGGAACGCAGUGACAGGUGCUGCACGGCUGUCGUCAGCUCGUGUUGUGAA
RNAcentral lists this ribosomal RNA (336 nucleotides) under Francisella-like endosymbiont. RNAcentral describes it as "bacterial SSU rRNA". It matches the Rfam family "Bacterial small subunit ribosomal RNA", at positions 739 to 1071 of the family's 1533-position model. The record is from RNAcentral. Lineage: Bacteria; Pseudomonadati; Pseudomonadota; Gammaproteobacteria; Thiotrichales; Francisellaceae.